GAUGAACGCUGGCGGCGUGCCUAAUACAUGCAAGUCGAGCGAACAGACGAGGAGCUUGCUCCUCUGACGUUAGCGGCGGACGGGUGAGUAACACGUGGAUAACCUACCUAUAAGACUGGGAUAACUUCGGGAAACCGGAGCUAAUACCGGAUAAUAUAUUGAACCGCAUGGUUCAAUAGUGAAAGACGGUUUUGCUGUCACUUAUAGAUGGAUCCGCACCGCAUUAGCUAGUUGGUAAGGUAACGGCUUACCAAGGCAAUGAUGCGUAGCCGACCUGAGAGGGUGAUCGGCCACACUGGAACUGAGACACGGUCCAGACUCCUACGGGAGGCAGCAGUAGGGAAUCUUCCGCAAUGGGCGAAAGCCUGACGGAGCAACGCCGCGUGAGUGAUGAAGGUCUUCGGAUCGUAAAACUCUGUUAUUAGGGAAGAACAAAUGUGUAAGUAACUAUGCACGUCUUGACGGUACCUAAUCAGAAAGCCACGGCUAACUACGUG
This 497-nucleotide ribosomal RNA is filed under the name uncultured bacterium. RNAcentral describes it as "partial 16S ribosomal RNA". It matches the Rfam family "Bacterial small subunit ribosomal RNA", at positions 28 to 507 of the family's 1533-position model. The record is from RNAcentral.